Non-coding RNA from Rhizobium sp. AC27/96, 45 nucleotides. The record is from Rfam. NCBI's taxonomy places the organism in Bacteria, Pseudomonadati, Pseudomonadota, Alphaproteobacteria, Hyphomicrobiales, Rhizobiaceae.
AGAGAGGCUUCCGCGGUUUGCCGUUUGGGGGCCUUUUUCUUUUGC